This is a long non-coding RNA of Gymnodraco acuticeps, 3003 nucleotides long. RefSeq lists it as uncharacterized. The record is from RefSeq and is a predicted model, not a curated record. The transcript has 3 exons. NCBI's taxonomy places the organism in Eukaryota, Metazoa, Chordata, Actinopteri, Perciformes, Bathydraconidae.
GCGCCCAGAGCGGUGGUCUCAGGCAUGGACGGCUUCACUGCAAAGCACAAUCAACACCAUGUUUACGGGUAAGAAAAACAAGUUGAUGCAUCUUUAUGGACAUAUUCAUGGGACAAACACAACAAAUAUAUUGCAUGUUGACCAAAAUACGUACAUUUCCAAAAGCUGCAAUUUCUAUUCAUUUUCUAGUGUUUGUUAUUCAGUGUGUCAUCUAUUCCACUUUAUGCAAGCAGAUGGUAUUAAUGCUCAGUGUAGCACCAUCACAGUUUGAUGCAGGCUAGAAAAGGACUUUUAUGUUGAUAAAAAUGUACUUUGUGCACCAAAACCUUUUGUCGUAUGUAUGCAAGUCCACCGACCUACUGCCAGAGUUUCUGAGUUUUCCGCACCCACACAACAGUUUCCCGUUUAGCAUCACCCUAUUGAAAAAUAUGAUAAAAGGAUCUUGCCGACAGGGAUGCAGAGGAUGUCGGCCUGCAGCUGCAUCAGCAGCUUGUUGGACGUCAUCCCUCCGUCCACCUGGAGCUGGGUGAGGGGAAUACCGCUGUCCUGGUUCAUAGCGUCCAGGAUCUUCAAAGAAAACAGAAAAACAGUUAUCACACAAAUACCUACAUCUAAAUUAAAAAUAUAUACAAAUCUACCAAACGGAUUGCUACAUUGAGUAUGUAUUAGACGAGUGUGUUGAAAUAGUUUUGGGAAAUUGAGCACCUUUCUCACCAACAUCAGUGUGAAAAGUGUGGAAAUACAAUAUGCAUUCAUGUGCUUACCUCCCGUGUCUGGAAACACACAGCUUCCAGUGCAGCGAACGCCACGUGAUACUUAUUAGUGAACUGAGUCAACCCGCAGAUGAUCCUGUCAGAGAGUAUCGAGUGAACAGAGAGUAAGGACGGUGAAGGAUUUUAGACACUGAUCUGAAUUUGUGUCUUCUUCUUCUUACCCUCUUGCACUGGGCUCCCAGUACGGUGCGUAGAGGCCCGAAAAGGCAGGAACAAAGUAACAGCCGUAGGAAGUGCCGACUGACGCUGCAAACUGCUCUGCAGCGGGGAAAACACAAACAGGAAUACAUUGCAAUACAUAGACAGCACAUACCGAGCUCUUCAGAGGAUUUGAUGAUUCCCAGAUUGUCCUGCAGCCAACGAACCACAGCGCCUGCAAUGGCUACAGAGCCCUUGGAAAAAGCACCAGAAUAACACAAAAUGAUAUUGAAAAGGCAGUACAGUGGGAUUUAAGGCCAUGGAAAGUAGGUGCCAUACGUGCAGAGUUCUGGGUCCCAGUCCAGAGUGUGGAUGUUAAACAGCAUGGUUCUGCUGGCGUUGGUCACAUCUGUGCAGUGGACGCCGCCAGACUUCCCACCAGUCAAACACUGUUGGAAAUCCAUCGGAAACACACUCCAAUGGUCAGUUUUUCACCAUCAUCCCAUAUGUACAUUUGAAUGACAUCCACACCGUUACCGACCCAGAUGAGCCAGGAGUCCACGGUGCCGAACAUAGCGCGAUGUGACACCACGGCAUCGUGGACCUCGUCCACGUUGUCCAUCAGCCAGCGAAGUUUCACCGCGCUGAAGUAGGUGCUGAUUGGGAGCCCUGUUUUAUGCUGCAGGGGGACAGAGACAUACAGAACUGUUUUAAUGCUGCUACCAAGAGUGGGAUCAGACUGUAUGUGUCUUUAAAUUGCAACAAUGGUGCUUCAAUUAACAUCAAAUGUGUAGGAAUGAAAAAAUCCUCAAGCUUUGUUAUGUUGAUAUUCAGUGCAUCGUCCUCUUAAGAUUUUCCUUCAGGCAUUUUUUAUUUCAUUCUCAAUGGGAAAAAGGGGGUGAAAAUGAGCGUGUGUCACGUUUCCAUCCCUGCAGGGCUGGAGCCGGUAAAUACCGUGACCACUGCAGAGUCAUUUGUCCCGUGGAAGAAUGUAGAACAAUGUAGAACAUUUUACUGAUGACAAAAGCCAGAUGUUAGCCCAGAGGCCCAUUGUCCAUCUGUGCUCUCUAAAACCAACUGUACCUGGUGCCCCGUCAAUGGAAAGCUAAAAUAUUAAGUGCUUACCUUUAAGUGGUUCUUAUUCCUUCCUGGAGUUUUGUUGAUUAGACGUUCGACUGUUGAUUGAGUCCGCAGGUCCAACCAAACUGAAGGAAAAACAACAUUAUUUCACAGCAGCCAAAAAUCUGUUAAAAUACAAUAUGAUUGUGUCUGCGUACUCUUUAAAAAGGCACAGAUUAGUGCUUAUAUAAAUGGAAAUAAUAAAUCAAAUAACAUUCAACUGUACCUAUUGCAUUGUAGAGGGGCUCCCCUGUUUCUUUGUCCCAAACAAGCGUGGUCUCUCUUUGGUUGGUCACUCCAAUAGCUGCACAGAUUCAAAUCAUUUCCACAUUUUUAGAUAAUGAACGCCUUACUAUGAUAUAAAUGAAAAGGGCCUCAUCGGUAACAUGUGAGCUUGCGUACCUUUAAUGUUUGAGAUGUCUAUGUUUAGCUGGGUGAGUUUUUCACACGUCCGCUCCAUGCACUCGUAAACCGACUGCAGAAUUUCUUUGGGGUCUUCCUCCACCCAUCUGAAACAGAUGGCAGUGUAUCACAAUUAAUAAGAUUACAUUUCCUAAAUGUGUAUGCAUAUUUUAGGAAUUGUUUUGUAUCAUUUCACAAACCCUUCUUUGGGGAAGCUCUGUUUGAUUUCCACCAGAUGAUGGCUGAGGAGCUCUGCUGUUUUCGCAUUAAACACCUUUGAAGAAGGAACAUAGCUCUUUAAUAUUUAUGCAUGGUACAAUUAUAUCAAAACAACACAAUGAAAUACCUACUUUUAGCAGAAUUGUUUUUACUAUGCAGGCUUUUUGCACACAACAGCACAGUUGCAACUAUGCCUAGGCACUGUCAUAUUUUCACAGUAUAGUAAUCACAGCAUGGACCAUUUGAUGUUAAAACAUUAGGAUUGAAGUUAUUAUAGUAGGACAACAAGAAGGAAAUAUAGCAUUUUAAGUUGUGUUUGUGUGUUAAAAUAUUAAAAAAUAUGUCUAGUUUU